UACACAUGCAUACUGUGUACAUAAUACAUGUAUACAGAUACAUGUGUGCAUGCACGUGUACACACAUGCAUGCAUACACACAUGCAUUUGUAGAUAUAUGUGUAGGUGUGUACACACAACAUACACAUAUGCAUCCACACAUACACAUAUACAUAUGAGGUGGCAUGUUCAGCUUUCAAGAGGACCAUCAGGGACUUUGUCACCUUGACAACUUUAGCCUUGCCUUCUAGUCACCUUGCCGGAACACUUGUGCCCGUGUUUUUCUAGCACUGUCAUAAGAAUACUUUUACCUAUCAAGGCAACUGGGGGUUAGGAGAGCUUUUUGCACAGGAGGCUACUUGGCUUUGUUUGAAAACUGAUGAUACAUGAGGAUUGGGGUGGUGAAUCACUCACAUGUUUCUUCAUAUGAAAAAUGAGGACUGUGGGAUUCUCUGGCUGGAUCUCAGCACCUAGAAAUGGAUCUGGGCAAUAGGAACUGCUCAGUAUUAGCUACCGCUUUGGUUGCCUUCUCCUUGCGGAAAGCUGGCCUCUCACACUGAAUUUGUAUCAUAGGCACUCAUGAGGGUCUUGACUGUAUCAAUAUCUGAUGAGAGAUUUUAGUGCAGUUCUGUUAUCGUGGCUGAUUUGCUCAUUUGGUAGCUAGCAUCCAGCUUCUUGUGAACAUUAAAAUAAAAUAAAAUAGAUUAUGGAGGAAUAGAAUACAGAUACGUAGUAAGGUAUUAUUUUCCAGACAAAAUGGAUUUGGAUAAAAGAAUCUAAUUAAGAACUUGUGCAUGAUUCUUUUAAAAUUCUUUUGAAUCCAUUUUUUUUUUUUUUUGGCCUGUUUUCAAGUCUCCGAUUUUUGUCACCCUUCUCACACCAGGUCAGAGAGAUAGCUAAUGGUCAGAAGGAAUCUUCCAGCAAUGACCAUAGCGCUUUCUCCUGCCUGCAGAUGCCUCUUUUUAUUCAGCCUUUAUGGGAAGUAGCAGCACCAUCCAGUUCUCAGAGAGCAAGCUCUGGAGUAACUGAGCUAACCCCAGUUACCCCAGUGGAUUUACAGAUUGAGGUUACAACCCAGCAGGGUUCUCUUCCUGGAAAGAAUAGCCUUCCCUCUAAGGUUUCAAAUAGACCCUGGGUGAGGAAGGAGCCCUAAACAGCUUGAAAAAUUGAAUGCUCUUUGGGCAAAGCAGGAAGCCGUCCUAUGGAAGAGCAUCAUUUGAGCAUAAAUCAGGUUAUCAGGACAAACAGAGUGUUCAGGAGGUCAAGAUGGUUAAGCAGAGACCCUGACCAGAAUGUCCGUGGCGGAGAGAAACAAUCUUGUUGGGAAAAGGAUGACAAUAAUUGGGGACUUAGAAUAAAGGCUAAAAAUGAUUCAAGGAGAAUGCAAAAAGAAUCAGGCACAAAUCGUUUACUAUACUCUGUUAUGCAAAUCUCACCUUACUAUGUGUUUGUAUUCUAUUCCUCCACAAUCUUUAUUUUAUUUUAAUGUUCAAAGAGACUUGUAGGUGCCAAUUAAAUGAACAAAACAGCCAGAGACAACAGAACUGCCCUAAAAAAAGUCCCGCAUCAGCUCUUGAGAGCAGGUUCCUUAAAGGUGAACAAUAUUCCACAUACAAGGACUUUUUCAGCACCAUGCAUUAGAAAUGGAAGUGAAUGUUUAUUAUUUUUUGUAUAAGUUGGUUGAUAUGGCUUUUCAGCUUCCCUCAGUAUCAUUAUCCAAAUUUUGUAGAUGACACUAAAGCUCAGAGGAGUUAAACCAUUUUCCUUAAAUCACAUAGCUUUAAAUAGGAAAACCAGAUAUGAAAAGCAGAUUUUUUUUCUAAAUUAAAAAACCAAAAACAAAAACACGUGAGCUCUUGCUUUACCCUAGCACAUAGUCUUGCCAUCUGUUUUCUCCACACCAGGUGAUUCCUGUAACAUUCAUUCACAUAACAAAUACAAAUAAAUGAGUGGAUUCAUUCAUCAGAUAUUAAUUCAGAAUCCCUUUUGUGCCUUCCAGAAAUCUGGACCAUCUCACAACCCCCAGAGAGUCUCAGCUACAAGGAACAAGUGAUAAUGCCAUCCCACUUUUAUAAACACACACACACACACAUGCAAUACACACACAAUCAUUUAAUCAUUUUUAAUUAUUUAAUUAUUUUUUAAAAAUCAGUGACACUUUAGCUGGGCAGGUCUAGAUAGGUCUUCUUUGCUGGGACGUGUCUUUUUCUGUCCUGGAAUACCCUAAACUUCACAUUUUGGCAGCGUGAGUUUUCCCUUUGUGACUUUCUCCUUCUUCCCUUUUUUCCUCCUUCUUUGCAGAGAAUGAGUAGCCACUGCACCUUGCCCUGCGCCAUCAAUGAGAAGAUCUGCUCUUAGUAGAGCCCUGCUUUCCCGCUGAAGGCCCUGAAAUCACCUGUGUUCCAGGCCACCCACUAAGGAUAAACAAAGCUUCCCUGAUAUGGGGAAUUAGCUCAAGUGGUAGAGCGCUUGCUUAGCAUGCAAGAGGUAGUGGGAUCAAUGCCCACAUUCUCCAAGCUUUAUUAUUUAGGUACCCAAACCCGAGUCAGUGUCUGAGAGCAAGACACUGCUCUCGGUGUCUUUGGUUCAAGACAUAGGAGCAGCAACAAUACAGGACUGGUGACAGCUUCCUGCUGGCAUUCAGUAUAGUGUAGAUCUACUGUGUAAUUAAUUUUCUGUUUCUUCGAGGAGCUGUGAAACCAAAGGACAUAUAAAACUGCUCUUUUCUCCCUGUUUCUGCCUGCAGCUUGGUCCUAAAUGUGAGACAAUUGUGAAAAGUGGAGGACAGAGCCACCUGGUUAAAUACAGCCCCAGCUUUCUGGUGAGAGGACUGAAACCAAGAUGUGUCAAGUAACUAGAAUGUGCCUGGACAGAUACUGUAGAAAGCAAAACCAUAAAGUUGUUCAUGAGCUUGUGGACGCACCUGCCAGCUGUGAAUAAGUGGCUCUAAUCCCGAACAAUUUACCUAAAAAGAGCCUGAGAGCUGAACUGUGCAAUGGCCCACUUUCCAGUCCUCACUGACCACUGGGUUGCACACACUUUGGAGAUCUCUGAACAGCAGUGUCAAGGCUUUCAAAUAGAGUUAUCUUUGAAACGACAACACAUGAAAGUCUGGUUGGUACUUGGAGCUUAAAUACAAGGCAAUUGUGUGCCUGCAAAAACAAAAAUAGCAAUAUUAUCCUUAAGAUUUCAACAAGACACAGUGUCUCAUCACAUAAUCCAAAGAAGUCCAGGUUACAAGCCCCACAAUAUUCAGCAUUAUGAAAAAACAGGGAGAUCUUAAUUCACAUGGCAAAGAGAAUCCUCGAAUAACAAUAUUGAGAGGACACAGAUGUCAAAAUCAUCUGACACAUACAUUAAAGCAGAUAUUAUAACAAUGCUCCUAGAAUCGGGGAUAACAUUCGUGAAGUGAAUGGAAAGUUGGAAAGUCUCACCAAAUAUUUCGAAUACAUAAACACCAAUUUAAACUUAAGAAUUAAAAAAAUGUAUUAACCAAAACUCUUAGGGGAAAUAAAAAGCUUAAUUGGAGGAUCUCCAUAAUCGAAUGCAGAAGACUAAGGAAAAAGUCAAUGAACUUGAAAACAGAACACGAAUACCUACAUAAUCUGAACUAUAGAGAGAAAGGAGGAUUUUAUUGUCUCUGAACAGAGGCUCAGGCACAAAUAAAAAAUAACAAAUCCAACAUUCACAUUAUUGUAAUCUGGAAAGAAGAGGACAAAGUGGUCUUUGUGGGAUAAAACUUUGAACAAUUAAUAGCUGAAAAUGGUUCAAAUUUGUCAAAAGAUAUAAACCAGAUUUUUAAAGUUCAGUAAAUGUCAAUCAGGAUAAACCCAAAGAAACCCAUAGCAAGGCAUAUCAUAAUCAAACUGCUGAAAACUAAGAAAAUACAAAACAAUUUUGAAAGCAGCCAAAGGGAAAUGAAAGAGAAACUACCAAAUGAAUGAUUGUAGAUUUCGCAUCAGGAACCAUAGGGGCCAGAAAAAAUGUCAUAACAUUCGGUAAGUAACAAAAGAAAAAGACAUAUCGACCCAGAAUGCUAUGUGGAGCAAAAGUAUCUUCCAGACAUAAAGGCAAAUAAAUGCAUUCUCAGUGGAAGGUAAGUAAAUACAUUCUCAUUCUUAGGAAGACUGCUGGAAAAGAAUUAGCAAAGAUUUGAGAUAAGAAAAAUGAUACCAGAAGGAAACUUAGAACAUCAUCAGUGAAGGAACAAAAGCAGAAAUAGAACAUGUCUGGGUAGACAUAACAGACUAUUAUUCUUCCCUUGAGUUCCUUAAGGAGACUACGGAAAAGAAGAGUGACUAAGAUCUCUGAAGAAGGGAAAAGCUAGAUGACUGGGCCACAAGAGGAAAAAAAGCAGCAAGACAGUGGUUUGAAUACAAGGCAUGGUGAAGAGAUAUAAAUUACACAAGAAACUACAAGCUAUGUCAUAUGUCUACCUCUCUAGCUGACAAGGGAAGCAGGGGAAAUUUCUCUUCCAAUUGUCUGCUCUGAAGGUCAUCCAAACAUAAUUAUCAGGUGGGGUGGGUGAACUCUUUUAUUCUUUUAAUCAUCCAACAAAUAUUUCUCAAGCGCAUACCUUGUUAAGAGACUGUUUUGGGUACAGUAAUUCACAGUGAAUAAAACACAGAUAUUCUCACCUUUGUGAUACUACGUCAUAGUUGCAAGGAGUGGGGAGAAACAGACAGGAAGCAAAGAAGAAAAAUAAACAAGAAGUCAUGUGAUAAUAUCUACUGGGAGGGACUCAUUAGGCAGUAAAGGACUCGGCAGUGUGGAGGUGACACAUUCAGUUUUCAGUAGAAGAAUCAGGGAAGUUGUCACUUUGAAGCUAUCAUUUAGCUUCCCUUUCUUUCAAUCUUCUUUCUUUACAUGGGAAAUAAGGAUUGUGGGAUAUUUUUGGGUGGAUCACAGCACCUAGAGAUGGACCUGAUCAAUAAGAACUGCUCAGUAAGCAUUAGCUACUGCUUCGGUUGCCUUCCCCCUGUGGAGUGCUGGCCUCUUGGAUUGAGCUUGCAUCAUAGGUGUUCAGUAGGAGCUUGCUUAGUGGAUUUAUAGGUUGAGGUUAGAACCCACUGGAAUUCUCUUCCUGGAAAGAACAGGCUUCUCUUUAAGGUUUCAUACAGACCCUGGUUGAGGAAAGAGCCCUAAAUUGCUUGAAAAAUUGAAUGCUCUAUGGGCAAAGCAGGAAGCCCUCCUAUGGAAGGGCAUCAUUUGGGCAUAUAUCAGGGUCUCAGUAAAAACAUGAGUGCUCAGGAAGUCAAGAUGGUUAAGCAGAGAAUCUGACCAGAAUGUUCAUGGUGCGAAGAAAUAAUCUUGUUGGGUGUAGGAUUACAACAACUGGGAAAUUAGAAUACAGGCUAAAUGAGAUUCAAAAAUAAUACAACAAGAAUCAGGCACAAAUCCUUUACUACUACAUUCUUUUGUACAAAUCCAUUUUGCCUAGAAAAUCGUACCUUACUAUACAUCCCUAUUGUGUUUCUCCACCAUCUAUUUUACUUUUUAAACUUUAUUUCAUUUUUGUCAUCACAGAAGCUUGUUGCUACAAAAUAAAUGAGCAAAUCAGCCAAUGGCAACAAAGCUGCACUGAUCUCUCUCCUUAGACCUUCAGAACAUUUUCCUUAAAGGUGAACAAUACUCCACGUUCAAGGACUUUUUCAGCACUAUGUGCUAGAAACUAUGCUGACUGUUUAUUAAUUUUUAUGUAAGUUGGUCGAUAUAGUUUCUCAGCUUCCCCAAGUAUUAUUACCACAGUACUAUAGAUGACACUGAAGCUCAGAGCAGUUAAACCAUUUUCCUCAGAUCACAUAACUUUAAAGAGGGAAACCAGAUAUGGGAAGCAGAUUUCUUUCUAAAUGAAAAAAUCAUGAGCUCUUGCUUUCACUUAGCACAUAGUCUCAUCAUCUGUUUUCUUCACACCAGCUCACUCAUGUAACAUUCAUUCAUUUACCAAAUACAGAUAAAUGAGUGGAUUUAUUCUUGCUUUCAUCAGAUACUAAUUCAAAAUCGCUUCUGUGUCUGCUACACUGUGCUCAAGACUUGCCAGUGCCUUUGUCUCCUCUCCCUCAAAUCUCUCCACCCAAUGUCUUGACAAAUACUGUAGAUUCUUCCUGCAUAACCUCUCCAGAAUCUUUUCCUUCUGUUAUCCAUGCUACAGUGUUUAUGGAGGAUGUUUUCUUCACCUAUGAAGUGUGAUGGGGGCUGAAGCUGCAGCAAGACUCAUGCUGUUCACCUCAGGAGCUGACACAGUAAAUGUGGAUAAACCUCAAUCCUUUAAUAUCUUUAUGACUUCUUUCCCAGUUACCCCAGCGAAUUUACAGAUUGAGGUUAAAACCACAACAGGAUUAUCUUCCUGGAAAGAAUAGGCUUCCCUUUAAGGUUUCACAUAGAUACUGGGUGAGGAAGGAGCCCUAAAUUGCUUGAAAAAUUGAAUGCUCUUUGGGCAAAGCAGGAAGCCUUGCUAUGGAAGAGCAUCAUUUGAACAUAAAUCAGAGUCUCAGUACAAACAGAGUGCUCAGGACAUCAAGAUGGUUAACCAGAGAGCCUGGCCAGAAUAUCUGCGGUGGAGAGAAACGAUCUUGUUGGGAGAAGGAUGACAAUAAUUGGGGACUUAGAAUAAAGGCUAAAAAUGAUUCAAAGAGAAUGCAAAAAGAAUCAGGCACACAUCCUUUACUCUGUUGUGCAAAUCUCACCUUACUGUGUGUUUGUAUUCUAUUCCUCCACAAUCUUUAUUUUAUUUUAUUUUUAUGUUCACAGAGAUUUGUUGGUGCCAACUAAAUGAGCCCAACAGCCAGUGACAACAGAACUGCACUAAAAAAAGUCCCUCAUCAGCUCUUGAGAGCAGGUUCCUUAAAGGUGAACAAUAUUCCACAUACAAGGACUUUUUCAGCACCAUGCAUUAGAAAUGGAAGUGAAUGUUUAUUAUUUUUUGUAUAAGUUGGUUGAUACGGCUUUUCAGCUUCCCUCAGUAUCAUUAUCCAAAUUUUGUAGAUGACACUAAAGCUCAGAGGAGUUAAACCAUUUUCCUCAAAUCACAUAGCUUUAAAUAGGAAAACCAGAUAUGAAAAGCAGAUUUUUUUCUAAAUUAAAAAAAAAAAAAAACUUGAGCUCUUGCUUUACCCUAGCACAUAGUCUCACCAUCUGUUUUCUCCAUGCCAGGUCAUUCAUGUAACAUUCAUUCACAUAACAAAUACAAAUAAAUGAGUGGAUUCAUUCAUCAGCUAUUAAUUCAGAAUCUCUUUUGUGUCUACCACACUAGGCUCAAGACUUCCCAGUGUCUUUGUCUCCUCUCCCUCAAAUCUCUCCACCCAAUGUCUUGACAAAUACUGUAGAUCCUUCCUGCACAGCAUCACCAGAAUGUUUUUCUUUCUUUUCAUUCACCUCUGUCAUCAUCCAUGCUAUGGUGUUUAUGGAGGAUGUAUUCUGCAGCAGGAAGUGUGAUGGGCACUGACGCUGCAGAAAGACUCCUGUUGUCCACCUCGGGAGCUGACACGAUAAAUGCGGGUAAAUCUCAAUCCUUUAAUAUCUUUAUGACUUCUUUCUCUUUCUCUUCAAUUUCUAUUUUCUCAUGUUCAAGCUCUGACAUUCAAAACUAAACACCUUUCUCUAACAUGUUGCUUUAAUUAUUUAAGCAUUCUGCCUGGGAUUUUUUCAAUUACUCUUGGGAGUUUUCAUAAAACUCUACCAACAUAUCUCCAAGUGGCCAGGCUUUUCAAUCACUGCUUCCCUCCGUGUGUAUUUCACACACACACACACACACACACACACACAGCACUUAAAUUGAACAGGUUUAUUUCUUCACACAGGAAUUCCUACGAACAGCCCGGUUUUCUCCACCAUAUGUCCACUCCUUCUCUGCAUAGCUGAAUUUUGAUUCUUACACUCUAAUAUUUUACAUAUUCUUACACUCUGAUAUGAUCUUGUCUCUUAUUCUUUAUGGCUCUGCUCUGUAAUUUUGUUGUUGUUGUUCUGAGAUAUAGUUGGACAUGUAACUUGUACAUGACACACCUUAGCAAGGAGGCAACCUAUAUCUCAGAUGCAAGUGAAAGAAGCACUCCCCAGGGGUUUCCUAAGGUAGUGGUCAGCACGCUGGCUUCAUUCCUGAAAGGGCCUAGUUAUGAAAACAACAGGAGCUUUUUGCCUUCCAGAAAUCUGUACCAUCUCAAAAUCCCCAGAGAGUCUCAGCUACAAGGAACAGGUGAUAAUACUAUCUCACUUUUAUAAACACACACACACAACACACACACACAAAAUCAUUUAAUCAUUUUUAAUUAUUUAAUCAUUUUUUAAAAAUCAGUGACACUUUAGAUGGGCAGGUCUAGGCAGGGCCUCCUUUCCUGGAAUGUGCCUUUUUCUGUCCCGGAAUACCCUAAACUUGACAUUUUGGCAGUGUGAGUUUUCCCUUUUUGACUUUCUCCUUGUUCCCUUUCCUCUUCCUUCUUUGCAGAGAAUGAGUAGCCACUGCACCUUGCCCUGGGCCAUCAGUGAGAAGAUCUGCUCUUAGUAGAGCCCUGCUUUCCCGCUGAAGGCCCUGAAAUCCCCUGUGUUCCAGGCCACCCACUAAGGAUCAAUAAAGCUCCCCUGAUGUGGGGGAAUUAGCUCAAGUGGUAGAGCGCUUGCUUAGCAUGCAAGAGGUAGUGGGAUCGAUGCCCACAUUCUCCAAACUUUAUUAUUUAGACCCUGGGUCUCCAAACACUCAGGUCUCCAAACCCAAGUCAGAGAACAGGAUGCUGCUUUGGUUCAAGAUGUAGGAGCAGCAACAAUACAGGGCUGGUGACGGCUCCCUCCUGGCAUUCAGUAUAGUGUAGAUCUACCGUGUAAUUAAUUUUCUGCUUCUUUGAGGAGCUGUGAAACCAAGGGACAUAAACAAUUGCUCUUUUCUCCCUGUUUCUGCCUGUAGCUUGAAUGUGAGGCAACUGUGAAAAGUGCAGGGCAGAGCCACCUGGGUAAAUACAGCCCUGGCUUUCUGGUGAGAGGACUGAAACCAGGAUGUGUCAAGUAACUAGAAUGUGCCUGGACAGAUACUGUAGAAAGCAAACCCAUAAAGUUGUUCAUGAGCUUGUGGACGCACCUGCCAGCUGUGAAUAAGUGGGUCUAAUCCCAAACAACUUACCUAAAAAGAGCCUGAGGACUGAACUAAACAAUGGUCCACUUUCCAGUCCUCACUGACCACUGGUUGCACACACUCCAGAGAUCUCUCAUCCGCAGUGUCAAGGCUUUCAAAUAGAGUUAUCUGUGAAACAACAACACAUGGAAGUCUGGUUGGUACUUGGAGCUUAAAUACAAGGCAAUUGUGUGCCUGCAAAAACAAAAAGAGCAAUAUUAUCCUUAAGAUUUCAACAAGACACAGUGUCUCAUCACAUAAUCCAAAGAAGUCCAGGUUACAAGCCCCAAAAUAUUCAGCAUUAUGAAAAACCAGGGAGAUCUUAAUUCACAUGGCAAAGAGAAUCCUUGCAUAACAAUAUUGAGAGGACACAUAUGUCAAAAUCAUCUGACACAUACAUUAAAGCAGUUAUUAUAACAAUGCUCCUAGAAUUACGGGAUAGCAUUCAUGAAGUGAAUGGAAAGUUGGAAAGUCUCACCAAAUAUUUGGAAUAUGUAAACACCAAUUUAAACUUAAGAAUUAAAGUAUUAACCAAAACUAUUAGGGGAAAUAAAAAGCUUAAUUGGAUGAUCUCAAUAGCAGUAUGCAGAAGACUAAGGAAAAAGUCAAUGAACUUGAAAACGGAACAAGAAUACCUACAGAAUCUGACCUAUAGAAAGAAAGGAGGAUUUUAUUGUCCCUGAACAGAGGCUCAGGGACAAAUAAAAAAUAACAAAUCUAACAUUCACAUUAUUGUAAUCUGGAAACAUUCACAUUAUUGUAAGAGGACAAAGAGGUCUUUGUGGGAUAAAACUGUGAAGAAUUAAUGGCUGAAAAUGUAUCAAAUUUCUCAAAAGAUAUAAACCAGAUUUUUAAAGUUCAGUAAAUGUCAAGCAGGAUAAACCAAAAGAAACCCAUUGCAAGACAUAUCAUAAUCAAACUGCGGAAAAUUAAGAAAACACAAAACAAUUUUGAAAGCAGCCAAAGGGAAAUGAAAGAUAAAAUACCAAAUGAAUGAUUGUAGAUUUCUCAUCGGGAACCCAGGAGCCAGAAAAAAAUGUCAUAACAUUCAGUAAAUACCAAAGGAAAAAUACAUUAUCAACCCAGAAUGGUAUGUGGAGCAAAAGUAUCUUCCAGACAUAAAGGCAAAUAAAUGCAUUCUCAUUGGAAGGUAAAUAAAUACAUUCUCAGUCCUAGCAAAACUGCUGGAAAAGAAUUAGCAAAGGUUUGAGAUAAGAAAAGUGAUACCAGAAGGAAACUUAGAACAUCAUCAAUGAAGGAACAAAAGCAGAAAUAGAAAAUGUCUGGGUAGACAUAACAGACUAUUAUUCUUCUCUUGAGUUCCUUAAGGUAUGUUUGAUGGUUGAAAGCAAAAAUUGUAACUUUAUCUGAUGCAGUUGUCAUUGUAUCUAGAUGUACUACAUACAUAAGAUAAAAGGGUAAAUGUAAUGGGACUAACUCUUGAUGAAGUUUCUAUAUUCAACUUGAAUGGUAAAAUAUUGAUUCUUAGUAUACUGUGAAAAGUUAUAUAUGUAUAUGGUAAUCCCUAGACCACUUAACAACCAGAUUGAAAUAAACCAAAACAAGAUAGACAGAGGAACAUAGAAGAAUUAAAACAAAGGGAAAAAAGGUUAAUAAAUUAUUAAAUAGUAGAUCUAUCUAAAAACUUAUCUAUAAUAACAUUAUAUGUAAAUUAUCUAAAUGCAUUAAGUAAAAACUAGAGAUCAUCAGAAUGUGUUAAAAAUAAAUAUGCUGACUAAAGAAAGCCACCUGCAAUACACUUAUAAAUAAGAAUAAAAGUUAUAGAGCAGAUUGAAAGAAAAGAGUGGGAAAAGAUACCUCAUGCAAGCAUUAAUCAAAGACAGCUGUGGUGUAUAUAUAUAAAAUCAGACAAAGUAGAUUUGAAAGCAGAGAAACUUUUCAGGAAUAAUGAGGCCUCCUAAAUAAUUAUGAUUGUCAAUUUUUCAGGAGAAUAUUGUCCCAAAUGUAUAUGAGGACACAGAGCUUCAAAACUCAUAAACAAAAUUGGAUACGCCAAGUAAAAAUAGAAAAAUCCAGUUAUAGUUGCAGUCAUUAACACUCCUCUCUCAGUAAUUGGAAGAUUUAGUAGAACACAAAUCAACAGACAUACUGGAGAAUUGAACCAUGCCAUCCAGUAAUGGACCUAUCAAUUUCAUAAUGCAAAAUAAAAAUUCAGGUAGAAAGCAAAGACAAAAAUUAAAAGAAAAGCAAGAUCAUGUUAUAAUGAGAAAAUUAAGAGUAGUCCAGCGUAUAGAAGGGUGCUAUUAUUGAAAGAGUUUGAAAUAGUGACUUAGUUAUUUUGAAACAUUUUUGAAGACGUUAUUUAGCUGGAAAUGACAGAAAGACUGAAAAUGGUGAAUGUGGAGGUGGAUCUUCCCUUGUCCAUAUUUAUCUUGUCUUCGUUUGAGGUCUGGGGUGUCUAUACUUCCUCUGAAUUACCUGAUCUUACUACAGUGUCUGGCACAGAGCAUCUCCCCAGUGAAUAUGUACUAAAUGAGUAGAAAGUAAUUGAUAGAUUCAAAAGAGUUGUGCAAGAAUAAUGUUCAUUAUUUGACUAAUCACUGAAUGUGGUGUUUCAAGGAAGACAAUGAAUCAAAGUUGACUUGAAAGGUAAGCCCAGGGCCAGACGUGGUGGCUCAUUUCUGUAAUCCCAGCACUUUGGGAGGCCGAGAUCAGUGGAUCCCUUGACACCAGGAGUUUGAGACCAGCCUAGGCAACACAGUGAAAACCUGUCUCUACAACAAAUACAAAAAUUAGCCGGGUGUGGUGGUAUGCAUCUGUAGUUCCAGCUACUCAGGAGGCUGAGGUGGGAGGAUCGCUUGAACUCAGGAGGUGGAGGUUGCAGUGAACAGAGAACGCACCGGUACCUGGACAACAAAGUGAGACCCUGUCAUAAAAUAAAAUAGUUAAACCCAGGCCAGGAGGGGUGGCUCAUGCCUGUAAUCCCAGCACUUUGGAAGGCCAAGGUAGGCUGAUCACGUGACGUCAGGAGGUUGAGACCAGCCUGGCCAACAUGGUGAAACCCCGUCUCUACUAAAAAUACAAAAAUUAACCAAGCGUGGUGGCAGGCACCUGUAGUCCCAGCUACUCUGGAGGCUGAGACAGGAGAAUUACUAGAACCCGGGAGGCAGAGGUUGCAGUGAGCCAAGAUCUUACCAUUGCACUGCAGCCUGGGCGACAGAGUGACACUCUGUCGAAAAAAAAAAAAAAAAAAGUUAAGCCCAAAAAGUAAGUAAGGAAGAGGUUUGGAAUUAGAUAUUUGUUGUAUGAAUGAGUGAGCUAAAGUGCAAAAGAACGGGCAGAAUAACUGAGCUGGUACAGAGGGAAAAAAUCACAUUUAAAAUCUAAAAAUAUCUGCUUCUUAGUUCAGGCUUUCCCACUUAGCAGCUUUGGCACCUUAGGAACACUUAACUUAUCUGAGCCUCUAUUACUUCUAAAAAGUGCAUAAAGUGCAGACUAAGACAGUUUUUUUGGCAAAAUUCAGUCAGACUACAUCAAGUAAACUCCCUAAGUCUCCUAGUAUAAUUCAUGGCACAAAAAAUUGGGGAAAAAACAGGGAGGAUAUGAUUAUAAGUUCAGUUUAUGUUUUUUGUUGAGUGAAUGUCUCCAGUCAUAGAGAUGCAAGUGUAGAUACACAGUAAGAGUAGUAUGAAUGGGAGACACCUUGGAAGGCUAUUUCUUCCUUCCUUCAUUCAGUUGGUCACUCAGUGAACUAUCAUGAAUUGAGCACCGCCUCUGUUUCUUAUCAACAAAGGAGACUGCGGAAAAGAAGAGUGACUAAGAUCUCUGAAGAAGGGAAAAGCUAGAUGACUGGGCCACAAGAGGAAAAAAAGCAGCAAGACAGUUACAAUUGUUUCUGGUCCCACUUUUAUAAACACACACACACACACACACACACACACACACACACACACACACACACAAAAUCAUUUAAUCAUUUUUAAGUAUUUAAUCAUUUUUUAAAAAUCUGUGAUGCUUUACCUGGGCAUGUCUAGGCAGGUCCUCCUUUGCUAGGACGUGCCCUUUUCUGUCCCGGAAUACUCUAAACUUGGCAUUUUGGCAGCGUGAAGUUUUCCCGUUGUGACUUUCUCCUUGUUCCCUUUUCUCCUCCUUCUUUGCAGACAAUGAGUAGCCACUGCUGUUUGCCCUGGCCCAUCAAUGAGAAGAUCUGCUCUUAGAGCCCUGCUUUCCUGCUGAAGGCCCUGAAAUCACCUGUGUUCCAGGCCACCUGCUAACAAUAAAUAAUGCUGCCCUGAUGUGGGGAAUUAGCUCAAGUGGUAGAGCGCUUGCUUAGCACGCAAGAGGUAGUGGGAUCGAUGCCCACAUUCUCCAAGCUUUAUUAUUUAGACAUCGUGUCUCCAAACACUCAGGUCUCCAAACCCAAGUUAGUGUCUGAGAACAGGAUGCUGCUUUGGUUCAAGACGUAGGAGCAGCAAUAAUAGAGGGCUGGUGAUGGCUCCCUCUUGGCAUUCAGUAUAGUGUAGAUCUACCAUGUAAUUAAUUCUCUGUUUCUUUGAGGAGCUGUGAAACCAAGGGACAUAUACAACUGCUCUUUUCUCCCUGUUUCUACCUGCAGCUUUGUCCUAAAUGUGAGACAAUUAUGAAAAGUGCAGCGCAGAGCCACUUGGGUAAAUACAGCCCCGGCUUUCUGCUCAGGGGACAGAGUUUGAGGCACUGCAGAGGAACCGGCCAAAGUAUGAGACCCAUAUAUUGAGAGUAACAGAGUGUAAAGUUCAAAAAAAUCAAAAUAUUUAAAGAUUUAUCAUGGGUCUUGAUGACAUGAUGGAAUCUCUCUACUCUCUGGACUUAUUAUGUGUGGUAAUAAAUUUACUUUUUAAAAGCCA
Long non-coding RNA from Homo sapiens (human), 13920 nucleotides. RefSeq lists it as uncharacterized. The record is from RefSeq and is a predicted model, not a curated record. The transcript is spliced from 3 exons. Lineage: Eukaryota; Metazoa; Chordata; Mammalia; Primates; Hominidae.